This 39-nucleotide ribosomal RNA is filed under the name Sarocladium implicatum. Its description in RNAcentral is "partial 28S ribosomal RNA". The record is from RNAcentral. Lineage: Eukaryota; Fungi; Ascomycota; Sordariomycetes; Hypocreales; Sarocladiaceae.
UUGACCUCGGAUCAGGUAGGAAUACCCGCUGAACUAAGC